Spironucleus salmonicida is the source of this 73-nucleotide non-coding RNA. NCBI's taxonomy places the organism in Eukaryota, Fornicata, Diplomonadida, Hexamitidae. The record is from Rfam.
GGGAGUAUAGCUCAGGUGGUAGAGCAAUCGCCUGCAAAGUGAUCGGUCACGAGUUCAAUUCUCGUUACUCCCU